RNAcentral lists this small nuclear RNA (130 nucleotides) under Mesocricetus auratus (golden hamster). RNAcentral describes it as "U12 minor spliceosomal RNA (ENSMAUG00000004324.1)". Lineage: Eukaryota; Metazoa; Chordata; Mammalia; Rodentia; Cricetidae. The record is from RNAcentral.
AUGCCUUGAACUUAUGGGUAAGGAAAAGAAUGGUUUAGGGUAAUGCCUGAGUCCUCAUUACCGAUGUGAGUGCAUAAAGGGUGUCUUGCCUGCUGACGGAGGUGCCUGGUGUAGGGAUCUGCCUGACCCU